Molecule: long non-coding RNA, 1484 nt
Organism: Folsomia candida
Lineage: Eukaryota; Metazoa; Arthropoda; Collembola; Entomobryomorpha; Isotomidae
Exons: 2
Source: RefSeq, a predicted model, not a curated record
CAAUUUUAACUUUACUUUCAUGGCAUUAUUUUGAUUUUUUUUAGAUUUAUGCUUUUCUCCUAUAACCAGAGGAUAGUUAAUAAGCAUGAUUUUUUAAAAAACUUGGGCAAGCGUAAAUUUAAAAUAUGUGUCUGAUUUGAUGCCAAUCCUAAGCCUAAUAGUGCAUGCUUCUCACCGACUUUCUGCAAUCCAACACCAAAAAAGUGACGAAUGUUUUAGUUUCGCAAAAACGAACAUUUUCAUGAGUGAACACAGGAUAGAGUUUUGCAUUGUGAAAAUGCAUACAAAGUUAAAAACUUCUUAUUACUGUAUGCAGAGGGGCGAUCCAUACAUUACGUCGUCAAAAAUUUUCGAUUUUAGCAUCCACCCACCCAACGUAAACAUUAAGGGAUAGGGAAUAAUUUUAACAUGGGCAAGAUAAGAUAGGCCACCGGAAAUCACCCACCCACUAAAAUAAUGACAUUAUAUAUGGACGUUCCCACUUGGGGCAUCGAGCUGCACAUUACGCGAAAUGUGGGAAACGUGCUCUCACAGCUGACGGACGACAAUAAAUAAAUCGGACCUGAAUCCACCGUACCAGUGGAGAAUUCACUCGGAUAAUUAUCCAAUUUUGGACAGGAAGGAUACACUUUAAUACGGAAUAUUUUAAUUUAUAAUUAUCAAAUCUACGUCUGGAUUGAUUAUUGUUGAUGCGAUCAUACCUUCUACUCCUCUGCGAGGAGAGGGUUGAUAGACAUCCAGUAUAGAGUAAAGUCUCCCGUAAGCUAACACAGGCGGUGGUGGUGGACAGGGCAUUCAUAAAGGAUGGGGCAAAAAACUUGGUUAAGUGGACUAGCUCGGAUUUGGCUGAAAUUUUUUGUGUAAAUACCCUAUGGUCCCCUGAGCAAGAAAAUACCGUUUUUUCGAGGCGGUGUCGAAAAAUACAAUUUCUAGAAAUUUUCUAAAUAAAUUAUUUUUUGGGUCAGAUUUUUCUGUAAAUUAUAUUCUAGACUAAUUAAGCUUUGCUGAACAAGAAUAUGAAAGAAUUUUUGACAAAAAUUUCGAAAACAAAAACCUAUAAGGCCAGCUUUGCUUAGUCCGACCGAACCAGGAAUGUUUAAACUCAUGUCUGUAAGAAUUUCCCCUUUCAAUAACAAUUUUGAAAUUUUAGUGCAUAAUACCCCACCCACUCAUAUGACCCCCACUGGUCCAAAUCUUUUCUGAUCGAACCCAUGUUCGAACUCGGUCGUUGCAUGUCUGUACCAAAUUUGGUAGUAGUGCUAGCUAAUAGAUCUAGCUAGGAUAGUUAGAAACUAGAAAUCUCAUCUUACUCCGACAAUCUAAUUUUUCGUCAUAUAUUUUCUUGCCAUGGGAAAAAGUGACACAUAGUCUUGGAAUUCUCUGAACGUCCAAGAAUCACGAUUAACUGACACGUUUCUUUGGGGUGGUGACCCAUACGGUUGCGACAAUUGAAUUAUUUCGAAAUAAAAUUUUCAUUUUUUAAA